Molecule: long non-coding RNA, 1398 nt
Organism: Cyprinus carpio carpio
Lineage: Eukaryota; Metazoa; Chordata; Actinopteri; Cypriniformes; Cyprinidae
Source: Ensembl
AUACAAACUCUCGAUGACUGUUCGUCUCUUGAUUUUAGACUUCCAAAGAGAAGCCAUGUCAGGCUGCUGAUGUGGACAAAUGCAGUUCCUUUGCAGUCAUUCCAAAGGUAAUUUUUGAACUUCAAUGACUUUACUGUAGAUAUGAACUCAUGAGAAUGAUAUUAAGUAGUAGUAUUGAGACGCACGGUCCUGUGUAAUCCUCACCAUGUAAGGUUCAGACAUUAGCAGGUCUGUUAGUUUUGUGCAUUAGAUAUGAACUCAUGAGAAUGAUAUUAAGUAGUAGUAUUGAGACGCACGGUCCUGUGUAAUCCUCACCAUGUAAGGUUCAGACAUUAGCAGGUCUGUUAGUUUUGUGCAUUAGAUACAAACUCUCGAUGACUGUUCGUCUCUUGAUUUUAGACUUCCAAAGAGAUGCCAUGUCAGGCUGCUGAUGUGGACAAAUGCAGUUCCUUUGCAGUCAUUCCAAAGGUAAUUUUGAACUUCAAUGACUUUACUGUAGAUAUGAACUCAUGAGAAUGAUAUUAAGUAGUAGUAUUGAGACGCACGGUCCUGUGUAAUCCUCACCAUGUAAGGUUCAGACAUUAGCAGGUCUGUUAGUUUUGUGCAUUAGAUACAAACUCUCGAUGACUGUUCGUCUCUUGAUUUUAGACUUCCAAAGAGAAGCCAUGUCAGGCUGCUGAUGUGGACAAAUGCAGUUCCUUUGCAGUCAUUCCAAAGACUUCCAAAGAGAUGCCAUGUCAGGCUGCUGAUGUGGACAAAUGCAGUUCCUUUGCAGUCAUUCCAAAGGUAAUUUUGAACUUCAAUGACUUUACUGUAGAUAUGAACUCAUGAGAAUGAUAUUAAGUAGUAGUAUUGAGACGCACGGUCCUGUGUAACCCUCACCAUGUAAGGUUCAGACAUUAGCAGGUCUGUUAGUUUUGUGCAUUAGAUACAAACUCUCGAUGACUGUUCGUCUCUUGAUUUUAGACUUCCAAAGAGAUGCCGUGUCAGGCUGCUGAUGUGGACAAAUGCAGUUCCUUUGCAGUCAUUCCAAAGGUAAUUUUGAACUUCAAUGACUUUACUGUAGAUAUGAACUCAUGAGAAUGAUAUUUAGUAGUAUUGAGACGCACGGUCCUGUGUAACCCUCACCAUGUAAGGUUCAGACAUUAGCAGGUCUGUUAGUUUUGUGCAUUAGAUACAAACUCUCGAUGACUGUUCGUCUCUUGAUUUUUAGACUUCCAAAGAGAUGCCAUGUCAGGCUGCUGAUGUGGACAAAUGCAGUUCCUUUGCAGUCAUUCCAAAGGUAAUUUUGAACUUCAAUGACUUUACUGUAGAUAUGAACUCAUGAGAAUGAUAUUAAGUAGUAGUAUUGAGACGCACAGGUCUUGUGUAGUCCUCAAAUUUACAAGUCAAAGAGGA